AAUCAAUAGAACUUUUUCUUUAGGCUGUGUUCAUUUGAACUCAGAGAGGCUUGAUUCUCACGAACCCAGAGAGGUUUAUCCUCAAUCUAUCCACCCAAUCUUGUCAUCGUACUCAGCUACAUGACAAUUAGUAUCUAGAGCCGUUUCGAUUCUAUGAGUUUCUUCAAUGGAGGUUGCGGAUUUGGACGAGUUUUAUCCUACAGAAUUCACAGAAAAUGAAUUAUUAUCACAGAAUAUUUAUGGCUUAGGAAAACCUCUAGCUAGAGUAGCAGAGAAGACGGAAGAUGAACUUCAUCGACCUCCUAAUAUGAUAGUUGGAUGGAUGAACGUCUUAUCAAGGGAAAUCAUGGAAAUACUGGUGAUGAAGCGUAGAUUAUAUGCUGAGAAUUCAGUUGAAAGUCUGGAGUUACUCCAAUUGGUGGUUAAACAAUUGAAGAUGAUGAAGACUUAUAUCGCUGAUGACACAAAAUUAACCCCAGUUGAUACAGUUUCAGUAAGGAAUUUCACUUAGAACACUUCAAUUCCAUCAUAAGAAGAAAAUGAUGAUUGUCUCGAUUUUGAAUUGCUCAUCCCUUCAUUUUUCUUCUAUGAAGAGGAAGAUUUGUUUGAUGAGGUGAAUCAACCUAAAGAAGAUAGGAGUUCUGAGGUUAAUUAUGAGAAACUUGAAUGCUCGAAGGAAUUGGGCAUUAGUCACAGUAAACUAAUUGGUAAUAAUUUUUUUACUCUUCUUUUUGAGUAUACUCAUUCAUUAUUUGAUAGAGGGAAGGAAAUUGAUCUCAGUUUAGGGAAUUUUGAUUUUGCUAAAUGUUAUUCUGAAUUUGGGUCAAAUCUGAUGUGUGCUUGAAAUUGUUGGAAGGAUACUAUAGGGAACUUGUUCAAGAAUUGAUUCAUAAACAUGGGUACUGGUCAGAAUCAUGGUUUAGGGAUCACAUUGUUUGUAUGUUAGCUAAUAGUGGUAUUUCUAGUACCACCUGUCAGGUGUUUGUUCAAAUGCUUCCAAUGGAUAUUUUAUGUUUUGAGCAUAAUUUUUUUUUCAACCACUCACUCUCUACUGGGACAUUUUCUUGUCAUUGUCUCAAGUCUGUUGAUACGGUAUUUGAUUGUGGUAAAUCAAUUGAAACGGGUGAGAGGUAUUAUUCUUAUGAUAAAUAUAUUUCUAAUUUCUACCUUAAUUCGUGUUUGGUUGGUCGUAAUGGGUGGAUAUUCGUGGAUGCUUACUAUGAAAAAUUCGCUUUUGAGCUACUUGCGGAGUUUGGGUACUGUUUAGAUUUUAUUCUCUGGAUUAUUUUGUUUCUUCAUGUGCCAAGACAAAGUGAGUCUGGUGAUGUGCCAAGACAAAUUUAAGUUACCUACUUUUGGGAAUUAUGAAAGCCUGGCCAUUCGAGAAGAAGAAAAGAAGGUACACCUCAAUUCUGUCAAGCUUGUUCUCAAAUUCUUGUGUUAUGCUCAACAUGUCUCCUAUUGUUGUUCAUGGAUGUGGAUUUUGCAUGGUGCUGUUUAUUUUUCUAUCUACUUAUGUUAUACUUGUUCCAUAUUUGACCGUGGAAAGAGGGUCCAUGAGUCAAUUUUAGUGAAUGCUAACACUGCAAAAUUUGUUUAUGGUUUGGUUUUUAAACUGGGGUCCAGUUCCGCAUUACAAUUUAUGUACCCGAUUAUGUUUUUGUUGGUGAACGCUAGUGGCAGUGGUGUUAGCGGUAAGUUGUUUCUGCAAACGUCACACAGAGAUAUUUUAACCUGACGCAGAAGUGGACAGAAAUAGUGGGAUUUAGGAAGGUAUAUAAAUUAUUUGAGCAAGUGUUGGAUAUAUGGGAAGAAGAAACUUUUCUAUUGCAGCUUAAGUAUAAAUUUCUUGAUGAGAUUUCGAUUCUUCUUUUGUGUAUGCAAGCAACUGAAUUGUCUACCCAAAUGAUUCGAGUCUUGAGUUCAGAUGGGGAUUGUGUUAGAUUUCGUUACUGUACUCAAAGGAUGAUUCUCACGAUUACUAGCAGGGCUGGUCUUAUUUCUUUACACGCUCUUCUACAUAAUAAAAUUUACUGCCAUAGAUUGCAGAGUCUUGUAUCUCAAUCAAAGGGGUGUUACUCCUGGACGGAUAUUCAUGCAAGUGUUGUUGGGAUACAACAUAUGCUCGAUGGAAUUCAAGUUCCAGAAGUGUUGAUAUUGGUGGUGUCCCAGAUUACUAAAAUGUUGCUCUGGGUAGGAUACUUGAGGUGAAAAUUUAAAUUGGUUCCACCUGGUUCGUGGAGUAUGAGAAGUGUUAGCCUGGAAGUUCAUUUCUCAGUUUUGCGUUUUGACGAAAACGAGACUUUUUGGAGCAUUUUGUUUUGCAGAGCUGAGGACCAUGUCUCUAACAACAGUUAUUACCUAGAGUUUUUAUGUCCAUCUCAGGGAGACACUGCACGGCAUAUCGAAAUGAUGAAACACGACAGUCGGAGCACAUAAGACUUUUUAUCAUCAGAUCACAUACUUGUGAUUGCACCUGGUAAGAUUGCAUUACUCAAUGAGCAACACGCUACUCAUCUCAGUGGUGUACUAGUAAUUAUUCAUGAUACUAGAUUGAAGGACACACACUAACUUUGAUGAUAAAAAAGGGUGGACUUGGGGCAGUCAGAGAAAUUCCAUAUUUGAUGUUCUUAGAUCUUGUUGUAGUGGGACCCUAGCCAUGAUUAUUGCUGGUAGUGAUACGUUCAUCAGUGCUUACCAAGAUAUGAAUUGUGAAGUUAGUGGGCAUAUUUACUCAGUUAAGACAAACUCAAGAGAGUUAAAAUCUCUGUUUGAUGCAUAGAUAGGAACUUAGGCCAUGGGUGAUACAAGCAGCUGUGCAGAUAACAGAGUCGCUUGUCUUUUGGAAAACACAAGAAUGUCAAGUUCAAUGGCUGAUAAUGAUAUUCAUUGGCGACAGUCGGUUGUUGGGCCUGGUUUGCAAUGUGUAAGAGUCUCAAGGUUAUUUAUUUGCGUUAAGGCUAUUGGGCUUCUCAUACCAGUUUGAGGGACUAAUUCGGCUACAGACCACAAUCGUUGCUUGUUACUUCUGCAUUCCUCCUGAAGAUGUCGCAGGCGAUGAAUAUCUAUCAGUCAAGCUGGUUUUCGCGAUUCUCAAAGAUGUUUUCAAGGGGAGUGGAAUGUCAUGAGUUUGGGGUGCCCCAUAUCGUAAUUAUGUCUGUCUUUAGUGGUUUAGUAGUUAAUUGUAAUGGUGGGCUGUGAUUGUACCACCUGUUAGCUAUCUAUCCGUGGGUUCUAAGGUAGUACUUCAGAGAUUUUUAUACUCUCGUGUCUGUAAUGGAAAGGGCAUAGAAUAUUAAGAAAUCAAUAGAACUUUUUCUUUUGGUUGUGUUCA
Papaver somniferum (opium poppy) is the source of this 3334-nucleotide long non-coding RNA. RefSeq lists it as uncharacterized. The record is from RefSeq and is a predicted model, not a curated record. The transcript is spliced from 2 exons. Lineage: Eukaryota; Viridiplantae; Streptophyta; Magnoliopsida; Ranunculales; Papaveraceae.